Molecule: ribosomal RNA, 253 nt
Filed under: uncultured bacterium
Lineage: Bacteria
Description: partial 16S ribosomal RNA
Rfam family: Bacterial small subunit ribosomal RNA
Source: RNAcentral
UACGUAGGGCGCAAGCGUUAUCCGGAAUUAUUGGGCGUAAAGCGCUCGUAGGCGGCUUGUCGCGUCUGCCGUGAAAGUCCGGGGCUCAACUCCGGAUCUGCGGUGGGUACGGGCAGACUAGAGUGAUGUAGGGGAGACUGGAAUUCCUGGUGUAGCGGUGAAAUGCGCAGAUAUCAGGAGGAACACCGAUGGCGAAGGCAGGUCUCUGGGCAUUAACUGACGCUGAGGAGCGAAAGCAUGGGGAGCGAACAGG